Molecule: ribosomal RNA, 252 nt
Filed under: uncultured microorganism
Description: partial 16S ribosomal RNA
Rfam family: Bacterial small subunit ribosomal RNA
Source: RNAcentral
UACGUAGGUCCCGAGCGUUGUCCGGAUUUAUUGGGCGUAAAGCGAGCGCAGGUGGUUUAUUAAGUCUGGUGUAAAAGGCAGUGGCUCAACCAUUGUAUGCAUUGGAAACUGUUAGACUUGAGUGCAGUAGAGGAGAGUGGAAUUCCAUGUGUAGCGGUGAAAUGCGUAGAUAUCGGGAGGAAUACCAGUGGCGAAGGCGACCUUCUGGACGGUAACUGACGCUGAGGCGCGAAAGCGUGGGGAGCAAACAGG